RNAcentral lists this unclassified non-coding RNA (268 nucleotides) under Hevea brasiliensis (rubber tree). Lineage: Eukaryota; Viridiplantae; Streptophyta; Magnoliopsida; Malpighiales; Euphorbiaceae. The record is from RNAcentral.
CGAGGUUGUUGGUGUGAUUGGGAUAUACUUGAGACAUGGAGACAAGGUUUGCAGGGAUUUGCAAGAACACAAGUCGCCAUCUGUCAACAAUCUGACUUGUCUGGUUACCGAAACAUUAAUCUCCAAAACCCGGUAUAUUCUAAGCCGUCGUAUUCCCGCCGAUCGUCAAUCUUGUAUUUCUUAAAAUAAAAGAGGGAGUAGAUAGUGAGGGAGUAGGAAGUACAAAGGAAAGCAAUGGAAGUGCCAGAUGCUACUCAAAUAACUGAGA